Long non-coding RNA from Talpa occidentalis (Iberian mole), 126 nucleotides. RefSeq lists it as uncharacterized. The record is from RefSeq and is a predicted model, not a curated record. The transcript has 3 exons. NCBI's taxonomy places the organism in Eukaryota, Metazoa, Chordata, Mammalia, Eulipotyphla, Talpidae.
UUGGUGUACAUUACAGUAAAACUCAUGCUUCUUUUUUAUUUGCUUUCUUUUUAUUAGAUGCUGAAAUACUGGAACAGAAUAAUUUAUCCCCAAUAACAACAAACCAGACAGCCUAUCACUGUGCUC